This 301-nucleotide ribosomal RNA is filed under the name uncultured bacterium. RNAcentral describes it as "partial 16S ribosomal RNA". It matches the Rfam family "Bacterial small subunit ribosomal RNA", at positions 509 to 807 of the family's 1533-position model. The record is from RNAcentral.
CAGUCGCCGCGGGAAUACGAAGGGUGCAAGCGUUACUCGGAAUUACUGGGCGCAAAGCGUGCGUAGGUGGUGGUUUAAGUCCGUUGUGAAAGCCCUGGGCUCAACCUGGGAAUUGCAGUGGAUACUGGGUCACUAGAGUGUGGUAGAGGAUAGUGGAAUUUCCGGUGUAGCAGUGAAAUGCGUAGAGAUCGGAAGGAACAUCUGUGGCGAAGGCGACUAUCUGGGCCAACACUGACACUGAGGCACGAAAGCGUGGGGAGCAAACAGGAUUAGAUACCCCAGUAGUCCCUGUCUCUUAUAC